GACGUAGGGGGCCAGCGUUGCUCGGAAUUACUGGGCGUAAAGGGUUCGUAGGCGGUGUGGCAAGUCGGAAGUGAAAUCUCCAGGCUUAACUUGGAGGCUGCUUCCGAAACUGCCGUGCUAGAGUGCGGGAGAGGCCAGUGGAAUUGCAGGUGUAGCGGUGAAAUGCGUAGAUAUCUGCAGGAACACCCGUGGCGAAGGCGGCUGGCUGGACGGAUACUGACGCUGAUACGCGAAAGCGUGGGGAGCAAACAGG
RNAcentral lists this ribosomal RNA (253 nucleotides) under uncultured bacterium. RNAcentral's name for it is "partial 16S ribosomal RNA". It matches the Rfam family "Bacterial small subunit ribosomal RNA", at positions 524 to 776 of the family's 1533-position model. The record is from RNAcentral.